UACGAAGGGGGCUAGCGUUGCUCGGAAUCACUGGGCGUAAAGCGCACGUAGGCGGCUUUCUAAGUCAGGGGUGAAAUCCUGGAGCUCAACUCCAGAACUGCCUUUGAUACUGGGAAGCUCGAGUCCGGGAGAGGUGAGUGGAACUCCGAGUGUAGAGGUGAAAUUCGUAGAUAUUCGCAAGAACACCAGUGGCGAAGGCGGCUCACUGGCCCGAUACUGACGCUGAGGCACGAAAGCGUGGGGAGCAAAAGGG
This 253-nucleotide ribosomal RNA is filed under the name uncultured bacterium. Its description in RNAcentral is "partial 16S ribosomal RNA". It matches the Rfam family "Bacterial small subunit ribosomal RNA", at positions 524 to 776 of the family's 1533-position model. The record is from RNAcentral.